AGUGAACGCUGGCGGUAGGCCUAACACAUGCAAGUCGAACGGCAGCACAGUAAGAGCUUGCUCUUACGGGUGGCGAGUAGCGGACGGGUGAGGAAUACAUCGGAAUCUACUUUUUCGUGGGGGAUAACGUAGGGAAACUUACGCUAAUACCGCAUACGACCUACGGGUGAAAGCAGGGGAUCUUCGGACCUUGCGCGAUUGAAUGAGCCGAUGUCGGAUUAGCUAGUUGGCGGGGUAAAGGCCCACCAAGGCGACGAUCCGUAGCUGGUCUGAGAGGAUGAUCAGCCACACUGGAACUGAGACACGGUCCAGACUCCUACGGGAGGCAGCAGUGGGGAAUAUUGGACAAUGGGCGCAAGCCUGAUCCAGCCAUACCGCGUGGGUGAAGAAGGCCUUCGGGUUGUAAAGCCCUUUUGUUGGGAAAGAAAAGCAGCAGGUUAAUACCCCGCUGUUCUGACGGGACCCAAAGAAGAAACACCGGCUAACUUCGU
Molecule: ribosomal RNA, 491 nt
Filed under: uncultured bacterium
Lineage: Bacteria
Description: partial 16S ribosomal RNA
Rfam family: Bacterial small subunit ribosomal RNA
Source: RNAcentral